AGUGAACGCUGGCGGUAGGCCUAACACAUGCAAGUCGAACGGCAGCACAGUAAGAGCUUGCUCUUACGGGUGGCGAGUGGCGGACGGGUGAGGAAUACAUCGGAAUCUACUUUUUCGUGGGGGAUAACGUAGGGAAACUUACGCUAAUACCGCAUACGACCUACGGGUGAAAGCAGGGGAUCUUCGGACCUUGCGCGAUUGAAUGAGCCGAUGUCGGAUUAGCUAGUUGGCGGGGUAAAGGCCCACCAAGGCGACGAUCCGUAGCUGGUCUGAGAGGAUGAUCAGCCACACUGGAAAUGAGACACGGUCCAGACUCCUACGGGAGGCAGCAGUGGGGAAUAUUGGACAAUGGGCGCAAGCCUGAUCCAGCCAUACCGCGUGGGUGAAGAAGGCCUUCGGGUUGUAAAGCCCUUUUGUUGGGAAAGAAAAGCAGCAGGUUAAUACCCCGCUGUUCUGACGGUACCCAAGGAAUAAGCACCGGCUAACUUCGU
This 491-nucleotide ribosomal RNA is filed under the name uncultured bacterium. Its description in RNAcentral is "partial 16S ribosomal RNA". It matches the Rfam family "Bacterial small subunit ribosomal RNA", at positions 29 to 506 of the family's 1533-position model. The record is from RNAcentral.